RNAcentral lists this transfer RNA (77 nucleotides) under Clostridia bacterium. RNAcentral describes it as "tRNA-Met". It matches the Rfam family "tRNA". Rfam says of the family: Transfer RNA (tRNA) molecules are approximately 80 nucleotides in length. Their secondary structure includes four short double-helical elements and three loops (D, anti-codon, and T loops). The record is from RNAcentral. Lineage: Bacteria; Bacillati; Bacillota; Clostridia.
GGCGGCGUAGCUCAGUUGGCUAGAGCAUACGGUUCAUACCCGUAGUGUCGUUGGUUCGAUCCCGACCGCCGCUACCA